UACGGGGGGGGCAAGCGUUGUUCGGAAUUACUGGGCGUAAAGGGCUCGUAGGCGGCCAACUAAGUCAGACGUGAAAUCCCUCGGCUUAACCGGGGAACUGCGUCUGAUACUGGAUGGCUUGAGUUUGGGAGAGGGAUGCGGAAUUCCAGGUGUAGCGGUGGAAUGCGUAGAUAUCUGGAGGAACACCGGUGGCGAAGGCGGCAUCCUGGACCAACACUGACGCUGAGGAGCGAAAGCCAGGGGAGCAAACGGG
Molecule: ribosomal RNA, 253 nt
Filed under: uncultured bacterium
Lineage: Bacteria
Description: partial 16S ribosomal RNA
Rfam family: Bacterial small subunit ribosomal RNA
Source: RNAcentral